Molecule: ribosomal RNA, 840 nt
Filed under: Lepiota farinolens
Lineage: Eukaryota; Fungi; Basidiomycota; Agaricomycetes; Agaricales; Agaricaceae
Description: eukaryotic LSU rRNA
Rfam family: Eukaryotic large subunit ribosomal RNA
Source: RNAcentral
UCUGGCGGUCAUUGGCUGUCCGAGUUGUAAUCUAGAGAAGUGUUACCCGCGCUGGACCGUGUACAAGUCUCCUGGAAUGGAGCAUCAUAGAGGGUGAGAAUCCCGUCUCUGACACGGACUACCAGGGCUUUGUGGUAUGCUCUCAAAGAGUCGAGUUGUUUGGGAAUGCAGCUCAAAAUGGGUGGUAAAUUCCAUCUAAAGCUAAAUAUUGGCGAGAGACCGAUAGCGAACAAGUACCGUGAGGGAAAGAUGAAAAGAACUUUGGAAAGAGAGUUAAACAGUACGUGAAAUUGCUGAAAGGGAAACGCUUGAAGUCAGUCGCGUUGGCCGGGGAUCAGCCUCGCAUUUUGCGUGGUGUACUUCCUGGUUGACGGGUCAGCAUCAAUUUUGACCGCUGGAAAAAGGCUUAGGGAAUGUGGCAGCUCCGGCUGUGUUAUAGCCCUUGGUCACAUACAGCGGUUGAGAUUGAGGAACUCAGCACGCCGCAAGGCCGGGUUUCGACCACGUUCGUGCUUAGGAUGCUGGCAUAAUGGCUUUAAGCGACCCGUCUUGAAACACGGACCAAGGAGUCUAACAUGCCUGCGAGUGUUUGGGUGGAAAACCCGAGCGCGUAAUGAAAGUGAAAGUUGAGAUCCCUGUCGUGGGGAGCAUCGACGCCCGGACCAGAACUUUUGGGACGGAUCCGCGGUAGAGCAUGUAUGUUGGGACCCGAAAGAUGGUGAACUAUGCCUGAAUAGGGUGAAGCCAGAGGAAACUCUGGUGGAGGCUCGUAGCGAUUCUGACGUGCAAAUCGAUCGUCAAAUUUGGGUAUAGGGGCGAAAGACUAAUCGAACCUUCAGU